CUCUCCAUGUCAGCACUCUACCCCCAAUACCACGUGCCCUGAUUUUGCCCACUAAUCUCCUAUGUGGGAUUUUAUCAAAUGCUUUCUGAAAGCCCAGGUACAAUACAUCCGCUGGCUCUCUCUUUUACAUUUUCCUAAAUCACAUCCUCAAAAAAAUCCAGUAGAUUAGUCAAG
Molecule: long non-coding RNA, 174 nt
Organism: Amblyraja radiata (thorny skate)
Lineage: Eukaryota; Metazoa; Chordata; Chondrichthyes; Rajiformes; Rajidae
Exons: 3
Source: RefSeq, a predicted model, not a curated record